Molecule: ribosomal RNA, 778 nt
Filed under: uncultured bacterium
Lineage: Bacteria
Description: bacterial SSU rRNA
Rfam family: Bacterial small subunit ribosomal RNA
Source: RNAcentral
AGAGUUUGAUCAUGGCUCAGGAUGAACGCUGGCGGCGUGCCUAAUACAUGCAAGUCGAACGAGGUGCCUUUGUAGCAAUACGGAGGUAUCCUAGUGGCGAACGGGUGAGUAACGCGUUGGUGACCUACCCCGAAGUCUGGGAUAACAGUUCGAAAGGACUGCUAAUACCGGAUGUGGUCAUCGGAUUUAGAAACCGAUGUCUAAAGGAUUUAUUCGCUUCGGGAGGGGCCUGCGUCCCAUCAGCUAGUUGGUAGGGUAACGGCCUACCAAGGCGACGACGGGUAGGGGACCUCAGAGGGUGGCCCCCCACAAUGGAACUGAAACACGGUCCAUACACCUACGGGUGGCAGCAGUAGGGAAUAUUGCACAAUGGGCGAAAGCCUGAUGCAGCAACGCCGCGUGCGCGAAGAAGGUCUUCGGAUCGUAAAGCGCUUUUCUGGGAGAUGAGAAAGGACAGUAUCCCAGGAAUAAGUCUCGGCUAACUACGUGCCAGCAGCCGCGGUAAAACGUAGGAGGCGAGCGUUAUCCGGAUUCACUGGGCGUAAAGCGCGUGCAGGCGGUUUGGUAAGUUGGGCGUGAAAGCUCCCGGCUCAACUGGGAGAGGUCGUCCAAAACUACCAGACUAGAGAGCGAUAGAGGAAAAUGGAAUUCCCGGUGUAGUGGUGAAAUGCGUAGAUAUCGGGAGGAACACCAGUGGCGAAGGCGAUUUUCUGGAUCGUUUCUGACGCUCAGACGCGAAAGCUAGGGUAGCAAACGGGAUUAGAUACCCUAGUAGUCC